CCCUUCGGGACCGGGGAAAGCGGCGAACGGGUGAGUAACACGUGGGUAAUCUGCCCUUGGUAUCCGGAUAGCCCGGGGAAACCCGGAUUAAUACGGAAUGGCCCUUUGGACCUUCGGGUCUCGAAGGGAAAGGUAGCUUCGGCCUCCGACCGAGGAUGAGCCCGCGGCGGAUUAGCUUGUUGGUGGGGUAACGGCCUACCAAGGCGACGAUCCGUAGCUGGUCUGAGAGGACGAUCAGCCACACUGGGACUGAGACACGGCCCAG
Molecule: ribosomal RNA, 265 nt
Filed under: uncultured bacterium
Lineage: Bacteria
Description: partial 16S ribosomal RNA
Rfam family: Bacterial small subunit ribosomal RNA
Source: RNAcentral